RNAcentral lists this ribosomal RNA (497 nucleotides) under uncultured bacterium. RNAcentral describes it as "partial 16S ribosomal RNA". It matches the Rfam family "Bacterial small subunit ribosomal RNA", at positions 28 to 507 of the family's 1533-position model. The record is from RNAcentral.
GAUGAACGCUGGCGGCGUGCCUAAUACAUGCAAGUCGAGCGAACGGACGAGAAGCUUGCUUCUCUGAUGUUAGCGGCGGACGGGUGAGUAACACGUGGAUAACCUACCUAUAAUACUUGGAUAACUUCGGGAAACCGGAGCUAAUACCGGAUAAUAUUUUGAACCGCAUGGUUCAAAAGUGAAAGACGGUCUUGCUGUCACUUAUAGAUGGAUCCGCGCUGCAUUAGCUAGUUGGUAAGGUAACGGCUUACCAAGGCAACGAUGCAUAGCCGACCUGAGAGGGUGAUCGGCCACACUGGAACUGAGACACGGUCCAGACUCCUACGGGAGGCAGCAGUAGGGAAUCUUCCGCAAAGGGCGAAAGCCUGACGGAGCAACGCCGCGUGAGUGAUGAAGGUCUUCGGGUCGUAAAACUCUGUUAUUAGGGAAGAACAUAUGUGUAAGUAACUGUGGACAUCUUGACGGUACCUAAUCAGAAAGCCACGGCUAACUACGUG